ACGUAGGGGGCAAGCGUUAUCCGGAAUUAUUGGGCGUAAAGAGUGCGUAGGUGGUUUUUUAAGCGUGAGGUGAAAGGCAAUAGCUUAACUAUUGUAAGCCUUGCGAACUGGAAGACUUGAGUGCAGGAGAGGAAAGUGGAAUUCCUAGUGUGGCGGUGCUAGGAGUGGAUAUUAGGAGGAAGACCGGUGGCGCAGGCGGCAUUCUGGACUGUAGCUGCAACUGGGGCAGGAGAGCGUGGGGAACAAACAG
Molecule: ribosomal RNA, 250 nt
Filed under: uncultured prokaryote
Description: partial 16S rRNA
Rfam family: Bacterial small subunit ribosomal RNA
Source: RNAcentral